RNAcentral lists this ribosomal RNA (957 nucleotides) under Leuconostoc citreum. RNAcentral describes it as "bacterial SSU rRNA". It matches the Rfam family "Bacterial small subunit ribosomal RNA", at positions 35 to 974 of the family's 1533-position model. The record is from RNAcentral. Lineage: Bacteria; Bacillati; Bacillota; Bacilli; Lactobacillales; Lactobacillaceae.
GCCUGGCGGCGUGCCUAAUACUUGCAGUCGAACGCGCAGCGAGAGGUGCUUGCACCUUUCAAGCGAGUGGCGAACGGGUGAGUAACACGUGGAUAACCUGCCUCAAGGCUGGGGAUAACAUUUGGAAACAGAUGCUAAUACCGAAUAAAACUUAGUAUCGCAUGAUAUCAAGUUAAAAGGCGCUACGGCGUCACCUAGAGAUGGAUCCGCGGUGCAUUAGUUAGUUGGUGGGGUAAAGGCUUACCAAGACGAUGAUGCAUAGCCGAGUUGAGAGACUGAUCGGCCACAUUGGGACUGAGACACGGCCCAAACUCCUACGGGAGGCUGCAGUAGGGAAUCUUCCACAAUGGGCGCAAGCCUGAUGGAGCAACGCCGCGUGUGUGAUGAAGGCUUUCGGGUCGUAAAGCACUGUUGUAUGGGAAGAAAUGCUAAAAUAGGGAAUGAUUUUAGUUUGACGGUACCAUACCAGAAAGGGACGGCUAAAUACGUGCCAGCAGCCGCGGUAAUACGUAUGUCCCGAGCGUUAUCCGGAUUUAUUGGGCGUAAAGCGAGCGCAGACGGUUGAUUAAGUCUGAUGUGAAAGCCCGGAGCUCAACUCCGGAAUGGCAUUGGAAACUGGUUAACUUGAGUGUUGUAGAGGUAAGUGGAACUCCAUGUGUAGCGGUGGAAUGCGUAGAUAUAUGGAAGAACACCAGUGGCGAAGGCGGCUUACUGGACAACAACUGACGUUGAGGCUCGAAAGUGUGGGUAGCAAACAGGAUUAGAUACCCUGGUAGUCCACACCGUAAACGAUGAAUACUAGGUGUUAGGAGGUUUCCGCCUCUUAGUGCCGAAGCUAACGCAUUAAGUAUUCCGCCUGGGGAGUACGACCGCAAGGUUGAAACUCAAAGGAAUUGACGGGGACCCGCACAAGCGGUGGAGCAUGUGGUUUAUUCGAAGCAACGCGAAGAACCUUAC